AAAAAAACAAACCCUGAGUUUCCGUGUCCAACUUUAACUGUCUGUCUUAUAUGAAUUUUGUUUAUAAUUCGUAUUUUCGUUGUUGUUAGACGAUAAAACAUGAUGAAUAUUUUAUGUGUGACUUAUCUUUUUAAUUUUUUAUAUAUUUUUUUAAAUAAAACGGACGGUUAAAUGUUAAGCACGGAAAUCAGGGUU
Oryza nivara is the source of this 195-nucleotide non-coding RNA. NCBI's taxonomy places the organism in Eukaryota, Viridiplantae, Streptophyta, Magnoliopsida, Poales, Poaceae. The record is from Rfam.